Molecule: unclassified non-coding RNA, 204 nt
Filed under: Hevea brasiliensis (rubber tree)
Lineage: Eukaryota; Viridiplantae; Streptophyta; Magnoliopsida; Malpighiales; Euphorbiaceae
Source: RNAcentral
AUUUAGUGGGAGUGCAGUCUGAAGUAUAAGGGAAGAUCAUAAAAAUAUAAAGUGAAUUCCGUGUAGCUAGAUCUUCAUUUCAUUUCAAAGAAAUCAGCUUUGUCUUAAAAAUCCCUUUCAUUUCCUCAGUGAAUUGAAAUGAUCAAAAGAUUGCUUGUCACAAGAUCAAUAUUAGAUCAAGGUAAGAUUGCAGGAAUAAUUCAG